GUUCCAGGUCGCCGUUGCCCAAGCUGAUUAGGUAGAAGAGCACGCCGAAGAAGAACCACGUGAAGAUGAAGGUGGAGGCGAAGAGGGUGAUCUUGUAGCGCCACUUGAUGUCCACCACAGUGGUCCAGAUGUCAUGCAGCGUCACUCACCUUCUGAACGGGCCUCCUCCUCUGUGCCGUUGACUUUUGUGCAACGACGCUCCGUUUGUCCGCAUCUCCACUCGGCAUCGUCGUCCUCGAACAGGGAUCUCCCUUUCUCCUCCUCUUGUCCCGCCUCGCCAGGGUGUACCCCGCCUCCUGCCUGUUGACAGCUGGGAUAGGCUCCGGCACUCCCCGCGGCACUCGUGAGGAUAAGCAGCAAAGAAAAUGGAAGGAUGGAUAUACAAAUCGAAGAGAUUCAUGCCUAUUAGCGGCGGUGGGCUGACGGUUUACCUGAGGGGUGAGGGUGACCUCAAGCGGGGCGUCGGGUACCACGAUAAAAAGUCGCACCAGCUGAGCGAAGUGGGGCUUGACUCCUCGUCCCUGCGAGGG
Long non-coding RNA from Syngnathoides biaculeatus (alligator pipefish), 530 nucleotides. RefSeq lists it as uncharacterized. NCBI's taxonomy places the organism in Eukaryota, Metazoa, Chordata, Actinopteri, Syngnathiformes, Syngnathidae. The transcript has 4 exons. The record is from RefSeq and is a predicted model, not a curated record.